UAUAUAUCGUUAGUAAUUUUGGGUUGCCUCUCUAUGACGACAACUCUUUAUAACGACAUUUUCUUCUAGUCCCGACAUAGCCCGAUGUGCCAUUAUAGAGAGGCUGCACUGUAUAGCGAUAGCGGCUUUAGUUCACGUCCAGGUGGGCCUUCUUGUUUGAAAGGCCAUUGAAAGGAGAGAGAGCGCUCUAGGCCUAUAUCUUCACAACAAUGGUGUUUAUGUUUCGUGACGAUCGAUUGAGUGUUUCCAGUAGGGCCGAAGUAGCCUAGUCGCACAUCGGCGGUCGUCCGCCCCCGGGCUUCCCCGGUUCGCCUCACAGCCACGUGGUGUUCGUUUGGCCAAUUGGACAGGAGUACCCUAUUUUGAAGGGUCAUUUUUGCGUCAUAUCCGGUCAAUCCAAUCCAUUUUUAAAAGGCGCGGAGUUCCAGAGUUCCAGAUCGGAGUCGUAGAGAUAGAUCAAGAUUUAUGAAUGUUUGAAUUGUUUGCGUGACCGUCAGACGUCGGGUUUGUGAGCAGUAUCGAGUUGAAGUUCAAGAUUCUCUAUUCAUGUUGGCAGAUGCACAGUGUACAGAGACAACCUGAUCCUCAUUGAUGUCCAAUUCCCCCCCCCCCCCCCCCCAUUUUUAUGAGCAGUGAAGCAGUCGACUCUAUGAUUCCUUAUUCCUGUGGAUACACAGACUGAGACAGCCUGACUGAGGUCCAAUUUAUUCUUAUAAUCAGUGAAGCAGUCGACUCUACGGGUGGAUUUUGACAAGAUAGACGGGACAAGCAUUGGUGGGGAUGCUGCCUCUUCGGACACUGCAACACACAAAAUGACUACUGGAGUGCAAUUUGGAAACCAAUUGAUGCAGAAAUGUACAGUGGUCUGUGUGCCACAAUGAUUCAUCUUGGAAAAGGGAGGAAGCCAGACCCUCUGGAUGUUCCUGCUACCAACAAGAUUUUCGUAAUGCGUCACUUAGUUGGAGAACAAGGGAAAAUGAAAAGGAGUGGUUUCAGAAACUUUUUUCAAAACUCAUCUUUGACACCAUUUGUGUGGUCAGGAAGUGUGAAUGUGGUGCAGAAAACACUGACUCUGGAAAGUGACAUUCUGUGUGGAUUUUUGCUGAGGCCACUGAAAGUGAACUGUGUCUUUUUUCCUGGAUGCUUGUGGCAUUGACUGAACAAUGAAUAUUUUUAACCCCUUGUACUUGUUUAAUUAAGUUGGAAAUGAAAGCUUGACGUACGAAAAUGUUAUAGAUCUCAUUCAUUAUUUGUCCAAAGAGAGGCAGAUAGAUAAUGAGGUUAGUUUUUUGUACCUGUGUGGGUCAAAUUAAUUUGCAAUGUCUGCAUCAUAGUUGCAAAACUCAGAUCUUUUGUUUAUUGAAUACAACCAUAAUUUGCUAAAGGACACAAAAAAGAAAAAUAGUACAACUCCAACUGUUCAGGAGCUUUUAUCAAAGAAAAUUUUUAUGAACACAAACACAAUUGACGAACAGGCCGCUACUUCGAAAACAUAGCUACACAACCCCCCUGAUAUUGUUAACGCAAAUAUUAAGACAUGUCCAAAGCUGGUAAUUGAAUGCACUGAAUGCUGCCCGAUAAAAUAAAAUCUUUAGAAAGUCUCCUGAGUAGGAUGGAGCAGGUAAAUGCUUUUCUCCAGAAUGAAAAAGGAAAAA
Molecule: long non-coding RNA, 1655 nt
Filed under: Aplysia californica (California sea hare)
Lineage: Eukaryota; Metazoa; Mollusca; Gastropoda; Aplysiida; Aplysiidae
Description: uncharacterized LOC101847800, transcript variant X1
Source: RNAcentral